UACGUAGGGGGCGAGCGUUGUCCGGAAUCAUUGGGCGUAAAGAGCGUGUAGGCGGACUGGAAGGUCAGGUGUGAAAGCCCCGGGCUCAACCUGGGAAUUGCAUUUGAGACUGAAUAGCUAGGGUGCGGAAGAGGGAAGCGGAAUUUCCGGUGUAGCGGUGAAAUGCGUAGAUAUCGGAAGGAACACCAGUGGCGAAAGCGGCUUCCUGGUCCAGCACAGACGUUCAGGCACGAAAGCGUGGGGAGCAAACAGG
RNAcentral lists this ribosomal RNA (253 nucleotides) under uncultured bacterium. RNAcentral describes it as "partial 16S ribosomal RNA". It matches the Rfam family "Bacterial small subunit ribosomal RNA", at positions 524 to 776 of the family's 1533-position model. The record is from RNAcentral.